GGGCUUGACAUCCCACGAACCUGCUGAUAGGCAGGAGUGCCCGCAAGGGAGCGCGGAGACAGGUGGUGCAUGGCUGUCGUCAGCUCGUGUCGUGAGAUGUUGGGUUAAGUCCCGCAACGAGCGCAACCCUCACCCCUUGUUGCUACCAGGUAAAGCUGGGCACUCUAGGGGAACUGCCCCGGUCAACGGGGAGGAAGGCGGGGAUGACGUCAAGUCAUCAUGCCCCUUACGUCCUGGGCUACGCACGUGCUACAAUGGCCGGUACAAAGGGAUGCCACACCGCGAGGUAGAGCUAAACCCAAAAAGCCGGUCUAAGUUCAGAUUGGAGUCUGCAACUCGACUCCAUGAAGGAAGAAUCGCUAGUAAUCGCGUAUCAGCACUACGCGGUGAAUACGUUCCCGGGCCUUGUACACACCGCCCGUCACACCACGAAAGCCAGCUGUACUCGAAGUCGCUGAG
RNAcentral lists this ribosomal RNA (459 nucleotides) under uncultured Methylomirabilota bacterium. RNAcentral describes it as "bacterial SSU rRNA". It matches the Rfam family "Bacterial small subunit ribosomal RNA", at positions 977 to 1434 of the family's 1533-position model. Lineage: Bacteria; Methylomirabilota (SeqCode). The record is from RNAcentral.